UGCAGAAAACACGAGUACUGUGCACGCACUGUGUUUGCAAGGGUCACCGUGAAUCGUGGCCUGGUGCAGCCGGAUCGUUACAGAUCUCGCUUCAUCGUUCCGCUUUACCAACGCCUGCAACUCAGUCUCAGCUCCGGCUUUUCGGAUGCUGCGAUUUAUCCAUUUAUAGUUUCAGGAGUUAGUAAAAUGUCAGAACGUAUGAACGGUACUGUGAAGUGGUUCAACGAUGCCAAGGGCUUCGGCUUCAUCACCCCGGAAAGCGGCCCGGACCUGUUCGUGCACUUCCGUGCCAUCCAGGGCACCGGCUUCAAGUCGCUGCAGGAAGGCCAGAAGGUCACCUUCGUUGCAGUGCAGGGCCAGAAGGGCAUGCAGGCUGACCAGGUGCAGGCGGUCUAAUCCGCCUGCAACCGUAAGGUUGCCAAAAACGCCGGUCGCGCAAGCGACUGGCGUUUUU
RNAcentral lists this small RNA (454 nucleotides) under Xanthomonas phaseoli pv. phaseoli. RNAcentral describes it as "cspA". Lineage: Bacteria; Pseudomonadati; Pseudomonadota; Gammaproteobacteria; Lysobacterales; Lysobacteraceae. The record is from RNAcentral.